Helianthus annuus (common sunflower) is the source of this 442-nucleotide long non-coding RNA. RefSeq lists it as uncharacterized. Lineage: Eukaryota; Viridiplantae; Streptophyta; Magnoliopsida; Asterales; Asteraceae. The transcript has 2 exons. The record is from RefSeq and is a predicted model, not a curated record.
AUUUCCCCAUCUCUGCUGAAAUGACUAAGUUACCCUUUUAAAAAUUGAAAAAGAAAAUUCUAUUCUAAUCAGAUUCAUACGGAAAUAAACGGUCGGCGAUUACGUUGGCAGCAAUUCCGUCUCUCUCAGGCAAUUCGAUCACCGGCGAUAACAUCUUUCUCAGGCGAUUUCCUCUCUCUCAGACGAUUCCGUUCUCGGCGUCGGUGAUUCAGACAGCCGGGACUCAGAAGGACGACGAUUCUUCCUUAGUCACGAUUCCACUGCCAAACCAUUUUUAGAGAGCAGAGCAUGAUAAAGUCAAAGUCCACUCACUUCAUAUGACCAUAUAUUUAGUAAAUAUAUUGUUGUAAAUGUUUUGCUUAAUAAUCUUCAUUUGAUUAGAUCUUUUUUAUAUAUAUUGUGUAAUCGUUCCAAAUCAAUACAGUCGCAUAGAUACAUAACA